This 59-nucleotide transfer RNA is filed under the name Uromastyx macfadyeni. Lineage: Eukaryota; Metazoa; Chordata; Lepidosauria; Squamata; Agamidae. The record is from RNAcentral.
GGCCCAAGUGAGUGCCGAAGUGCAAAUUUGGCGAGGAACUUUGAUAUGUUCGUGGGCUG